AAGGGAAAAAGGGAGAGAAGGGAGAAAGGAGAGAGAGAGAGAGUAAAUGGGGGGGUAAAUGAGAAAAGACAAAAUGACAAGGAGCCAGGGCAGAGCCAGGGAGUAGGAGACAGAAGAGAGGCAGAGACAGAGUGAGAGCAGAGAGACACAGAGCAAGAGAGAAGCAGAACCUCAGGAGAAAGUUGUAAUAGAGAUGGAGCUGGAGAGGAAGGCUGGGCCGGUGAGUGGGGAAAGAUGGCAAGGCUCUUGAGUUGUUUGGGGGCCAUAGGACUCUGGUCCCAUUCACACUCCAUUCCAACUUUGGCCUUAGAGCUUAGGAUGAGAGAAACCUGCCCCAAAGGAGGCCUGAGGCUCCCUGCUGGCUUCUGGACCCCAUGGGCAUCCAAACUGUGAGGCCUGCCACAGCAGUAAAACAAACCUUGAAAGUCACCCUGGAGCAGCCAGAGUCACCCCUGAAAAGAAGAAGCCUGGGGAAGGGCACCCAAAAGCCUCCCAGGGCAGCCUUAAGCUCCUGGGUCUCUCUCCUGUUAGAACCCACCAAGGCCCAGCCUGAGGUUGUGGCGCCAUCUUGUGGUAGUAUGGUGCAUAGCCGGUUUCCUUUCUGGAUGGAGCUUUCAAGGGUCAGGAAGGGUCCUGAGGGCCAGUGGAGUGAAGAGGAAGAGGGGAGCUAGGGAAUGUUCACCUUGCCUGACCACACAAACACAAACAUCCUUGUUGUACCUGGGCCCAGGUAGGCUUGGGGGGGAGAAUAGGGAAGGAAGUUGGGGAUUUGACUAGGAGAAAUUGGGGGUCAGUGAACUAGCAUGACCUGGAAACUGCAGAUCCUUCCUUAAUCAUUACGAUGAAGCUAAUUACAUCAAAGAGCACUUUAAGACUUUCCUAGGAUGAGGUGCUAUUACUUUUAGAAGUUUCUUCCCACGGCUUCUCAAACAUUAAAAUGCAUAGCAUAUCUAUAUUAAAUAUAACUCAGUUUUAUAAAAUAAUACAAAGUGAUUUUGUAAGUUUUCCUUGGGAAUUAUUUGACCAAGUGUAAUUCACUUACAGUACAAUUAUCCAUCAUUUCUCAGCCCUCCAUGACCACUUGUUUGCACUCUUUUUUUAAAUAUUUAUUUCUUAGUUUUAGAUGGAUGCCAUAUCUUCAUUUUACAUUUAUGUGGUGCUGAGGAUCAAGCCCAGUGCCUUGUACAUACUAGGCGAGCACUCUACCACUGAGCCACAACCCCAGCCCUGCAUUCUUUAAAAAAAAAUAUAUAUAUAUAUAUAUAUAUAUAUGUGUGUGUGUGUGUGUGUGUGUGUGUGUGUUUGUGUGUAUGUUGUUGAUGGACCUUCAUUUUAUUUAUAUGUGAUGCUUAGGAUUGAACCCAGUGCCUCAUGUGCCAGGCAAGUGCUCUACCACUGAGUCACAACCACAGCGCCCCCUUAUUGGCAUUCUUGAUGUGCUGACAAGAGUUAAAAACUACCUAAUCUACAAAUUCUUUUCAAGUAUGAUGAAAUUGUUAUGAAUACUACACUUAAUAAUUAAAGAAGGUGACAUAGAAUUAAUGACAUACCUAGCAAUAGAUAAUUUAUGGACGUUUUAUACUUUAUAUAAAUUCAAUUAAACUUUUAUUAAUUUUAAUUAUCCUAUAGUUUUUAAACUUUGGAGCCAAGGUUUUUCAGGUUUUUAACAUUUAGGCCUCUGAAAAGCUCAAGCCUCUUGGGGAGUUACUGCUUCCAAAAAAUAAGUGAUCCUAAUGGCACAGCCCAGAGAGCUAUAAAGAUUAAAAGUGGGAUACUAGAUAAAAAGCACUUAGCACAUUGCUUGGCAUAUUCUAAGCAUCCAAUUAAAAUAUAGUGAUGUUAUUAAACAUAUUUUAGCACAUAUACUCAUAUAUUCAUUCAUUUGUUUGUUUAAAAAAUUUAUUGGGCCAGGUAUGGUGGUGCACACCUGUAAUCCCAGCAGCUCAGGAGCCUGAGGCAGGAGGAUGGUGAGUUCAAAGCCAGCCUAAGCAAAAGCAAGGCGCUAAGCAACUCAGUGAGACCCUUUCUCUAAAUAAAACACAAAAAAGGGCUGGAGAUGUGGCUCAGUGGUCAAGUGCCCUGAGUUUAAUCCCUGGUAUACACCACCCAAACCCUUCAUCUACAGUAAAUAGUCCACCCAAAAAAAUUAUUGGGCUGGGGCUGUAACUCAGUAGCAGAGCACUUGCCUAGCAUGUGCAAAGCCCUGGGUUCAAUCCCCAGCGCUGAAAAACAAAACAAAACAAAAAAAGAAGGGUUGGGGGUUAGGAACUCAUUCUGUGCCAGACAAGGCAAUGAUCUAGGUGGUAGUUCUAUAGCAGUGAACAUACUCAAUCUAAACAACUAUUCUGGGGACUUUACAUUCUAGUUGGGAGAACUAGACAUAAACAAUAAACAUUAAAAAUAAGAAAGCUCACACAGUAUGUUAGGAGGCCAUAAGAGCCUUGGGA
Molecule: long non-coding RNA, 2447 nt
Filed under: Marmota monax (woodchuck)
Lineage: Eukaryota; Metazoa; Chordata; Mammalia; Rodentia; Sciuridae
Source: RNAcentral